UAAGAGUAGCAUGUCAAUCUCCUGUUGA
RNAcentral lists this non-coding RNA (28 nucleotides) under Mus musculus (house mouse). Lineage: Eukaryota; Metazoa; Chordata; Mammalia; Rodentia; Muridae. The record is from RNAcentral.